GAAACAGUAAUACUAAAAACACUUGACCUAUUGUGACUUCUUUUUUUUUGUCAUUUUUGAGGACUCUUCAUUUCGCCACUAUUGUACAGAAAGUCACAAGACAGUUGACAUUUGAAUUCUUAUCUUCACUAUUCAAGAAUUACAAGAAGCAGCAGAAGCGAUUACUGGUAACACGGCUGUCAUGGAUAGCGUCACAGUCAUAGAAAAAACUACUUUGUGCCGUCAGAUUCAAAAAUUUAAAAAAAGCACUACAUUUCUUAUUUUAGAGAAAAAAAACAUUUUUUUUCAGAAAUUUCCUUUUAAGUGUCAUCACUCAUCCAUUUCUUGAUUUUUACACAUAAAAUGAACAGCAGAAUAUUUCUAUUACGCUAAGAGAACGUCACUACAGGACUGUGCAUGGGUGGCUUUUACCCCCCACCCCAAACAAAAAAAAAAAAGAAAAAUUGACAAAAAGUAGCACUGGACACAACUCACUAUAAUGAUUCAUUAAAGGCUUUGGGGUGGAACGUUAUCACCAAGUCACGAGGUAUCACAUCUAGUAAAAGCAGACACGAGAUGAACGCCAACUUGCACAGCUGUGACCAGCACACGCUGUGUCUCAACUAAUUUUUGAUGUUUAGACCCCCCCCCAAAAAAAAAAAAAAAAAACUCGAUUGUAGAGCCGAGCAAUUCGACGCGAACUAGGAAAGGGAUUAUUAAUGAUUGACGAUAUAGAGGGCACCGUCUGGGAGCAACCAAAGGGGGCGCUGUUGAUUCAUCCUCCACCAGUAUGUGGUAGAAGAAGAAAAGGUCGAAGGAACGCUGGAGCCAAUCCCAGCUGUCAUCAGGCAGGAGUCAGGGUACACCCUGAACUGGUUGCCGGCCAAUCGGUUGGGGAACGAUGGUGUGAUAACUCUUCAUCCAGCGUCUACACUGCUUUUCGUGUUCAGGGUCAAAGGCGAACUGGAGCCCAUCCCGACUGACUUCAAGCGAAAACUGGACGACACCCUGGACUGUGGUCUUCACGCAGCUCUCGGCGGCCCUGUUGGCCGAGAUGUUGGCGUUGCGGUUCUGGCAGUCCGACUCGAUGCUGUUGUCCAGCUGCUGGCCGCUGCCCCGGCAGGCGUGGCACGAGCUGAGGAAGGCGUGCC
Long non-coding RNA from Syngnathoides biaculeatus (alligator pipefish), 1130 nucleotides. RefSeq lists it as uncharacterized. The record is from RefSeq and is a predicted model, not a curated record. The transcript is spliced from 3 exons. Lineage: Eukaryota; Metazoa; Chordata; Actinopteri; Syngnathiformes; Syngnathidae.